UCCCAUAUUUUUUAUUGGUUCAUUAUAAUUGAACGUAAUGGUGGGAUUAGUAAAUAAUACGAAUCCCACCAUUAUGUUCAAUUAUAAUGAACCAAUAAAAAAUAUGGGA
This 109-nucleotide microRNA precursor is filed under the name Marmota monax (woodchuck). Lineage: Eukaryota; Metazoa; Chordata; Mammalia; Rodentia; Sciuridae. The record is from RNAcentral.